This is a long non-coding RNA of Rosa rugosa (rugosa rose), 808 nucleotides long. RefSeq lists it as uncharacterized. NCBI's taxonomy places the organism in Eukaryota, Viridiplantae, Streptophyta, Magnoliopsida, Rosales, Rosaceae. The transcript has 3 exons. The record is from RefSeq and is a predicted model, not a curated record.
UCGAUCAGUCUCUCGGUCUCGCUCUCGCUCUCGCUCUCCCUCUAAUCACAAACGCAUCCAGUCUCUCGCUCUCGCUCUCGAUCUCGGCCUCACUUGCAUCUCAUCAGGAUUUCGGAAGUGAAAUUGAAGCCUCAAUCAAGCAAAGUUGGUUAAGAUUUAGCAUCUGCCGAGGCCUUUAAGUAUUGUAACAGCAAUAUAAGAGUGAAUUUAGCUGCUACAAUGUGACGGAACCGCCCAUUGAUGCUCCUAGAGACCCAUUGUACAAGACCGAGAGGGACGUUUUUAAGGCUGGAAGAAAAGAAGAGUGGAUAGGCAGAAAGCAAGCAGCUGCAAAUGAGAUCUAACAACGUUUGAUGAGUUUAUGUACUGGUUUCCAUUCCAUUCAUUCUUGACAGUUUUAAUACCAAACUACUGCACAGAAAAUGGUGAGUGAAAAGGCCUAGAGGCAGAAAGUAAGCAGCUGCAAAUGAGAUCUAACAUGAGUUUAUGCACUGGUUUCCAUUACAGUUUGGGACAUGCAAGGUUAUUCAUUUGAUAAGCAAGUGAAGAUUGUCAUUGCCACCAUGACACUUCAUAAUUAUAUACGGAGACAUGCACAUGGUGAUAGACAUUUUGUCCGAAGUGAAGAAAGAGAAAGUUAUGGGUCAAGUGGUGGGAUAGAAAUGGAUGAUGAUGUAGAAGAAGAGAAUCAUGGUCACGGUGCACAAGAAAUGGAAACAAUAAGAAAUAACAUUACUCAAAGUUUGAUGAAUGCGCGUAAUAACAUGAACAUUUGAUGCGAACCAGAAACCAAUUGUUAUUAAUGUUA